AGAAUCAACGCUGGCGGCGUGCCUAACACAUGCAAGUCGAACGCGAAAGUCCCGAAAGGGAUAAGUAGAGUGGCAAACGGGUGAGUAACACGUGGGUGACCUGCCUUCAAGUGGGGGAUAACGUCCCGAAAGGGACGCUAAUACCGCAUAACAUAGCUGCCUUUUAACAGGCGGACAUCAAAGCUGGGGAUCGCAAGACCUAGCGACUAGAAGAGGGGCCCGCGCCUGAUUAGCUUAGUUGGUGGGGUAAUGGGCUCACCAAGGCACGAUCAGUA
RNAcentral lists this ribosomal RNA (275 nucleotides) under uncultured soil bacterium. Its description in RNAcentral is "partial 16S ribosomal RNA". It matches the Rfam family "Bacterial small subunit ribosomal RNA", at positions 26 to 285 of the family's 1533-position model. The record is from RNAcentral.